GAUGAAGAACGUAGCGAAAUGCGAUAAGUAAUGUGAAUUGCAGAAUUCCGUGAAUCAUCGAAUCUUUGAACGCACAUUGCGCCCCUCGGUAUUCCGGGGGGCAUGCCUGUCCGAGCGUCAUUGCUGCCCUCAAGCACGGCUUGUGUGUUGGGCCUCCGUCCUCCUCCCGGGGGACGGGCCCGAAAGGCAGCGGCGGCACCGCGUCCGGUCCUCGAGCGUAUGGGGCUUCGUCACCCGCUCUUGUAGGCCCGGCCGGCGCUUGCCGACACAUCAAUCUUUUUUCCAGGUUGACCUCGGAUCAGGUAGGGAUACCCGCUGAACUUAAGCAUAUCAAUAAGCGGAGGA
Molecule: unclassified non-coding RNA, 345 nt
Filed under: soil metagenome
Description: partial contains 5.8S ribosomal RNA, internal transcribed spacer 2, and large subunit ribosomal RNA
Rfam family: 5.8S ribosomal RNA (bases 1-120)
Source: RNAcentral